CUACGUUUUCUGCACCAGCUCCAUGGAGUGCGGCUGGGCUCCGAGAGCCCCCUCCAGCUGGGACCUGCUUGUAUGCAGGUUUACAGAGUCUGUGGCUUGAUAAUUAACUGGCUCAGUUGUCUGUCCCUGCUCUGGAGACCUCCCAGUGCCAGCUCCCACGUCCCUCUCUCAUCCUCACGUCCUGCACAGCUGGGUGGCAGAAUAACGACUUCAUUAAGCACAUCCUGCUUUGGUUCUCCAAGGACAUCGGUCCAUUAGGAAGACUAAUCUGCCAACAGCAGCCACACUGCUGGUCCAGCAUGUGGAGACCAGUGAGGGGGCCCUGAAAAGAUAGGGUGGCCUAGACUCAAGCUGCCACCUGUAGGGUGUUCCAGGCCUCCUUCGUGGAGUGAGGUAUGUAAGCACUGCCUCCAUCACUCACCUCUCCCCACAGUUGAGCUAGGGCUCUGCCUCUGAGCCUGGAGGGUCUGGCCUGGACAUUAGGAAGAUCUGGUAAGGACUUAUGUCCAGGGACUUGCUUCCGAGCUACCCAUUGGGUGGAGACAAGGGAAAGGUAGAGUUGGGAGGGGGAUGUUUAAAAAUGGAUGCCGGGCAGAGCCUGGAGGAAAAGUCUCAAGAGCCUUGGGUCAGGAAGUGGUUACUCUUUUGUGAGGGGCUUUCCUUUGUGAGGCCUUCACUGUUUACCUGAAAGCCCUGCGCAGCCAGGACUCGUCUGGCCCUGGGGAAAGACAUGGGCUUCAUGCUGGAAUGAGUGGUAGAGAUGGCUGGUCUGGCCAGUGUGGAGCUUAGCCAGCCAGGCCUCUCCUUCCCUUUAUUGCCUUCAUCCUCAGGCAGGCCACCCUUCCUUGAUGUCCACAGGCAGCAAGCUGGUACCCCAUCUGACUCCAAGUUCCAUGCUGGCUCUUGCCCAGCACUGCUGCAGUCAUAUGACUCAAACAUGCAGGCCAGACCUAUUGGAGGGAAGUGUGGACCUAUAGGAGAGGUCUUUGUCACCAAGUGAAAUCAGAGGCAUGCCUUCCUCCAGAAGUCUGUGUCAGGGUGUUGAGUCAGAGUGCUGAGUCAGGGUGCUGAGUUAGAGUUUGUCAGGGUGCUAAGGAGUUAUGCCCAGGGUUGUGUUCCUAGGGUGCCAUGUCAAGGUGCUGUCUGCAGAAUGCUGUCCUUAGGAUGAUGUCCCUUAGGGACAUCAGGAACAGAUUCUCAGGGAUACUGUCUUCAGUGUGCUCUCCCCAGGGUGCUGCCCCCAGGGUGUUAUCCCCAAGUGCCUCAUCCCUGUCCCUUCCACUCCCAUCACUUCAGCCAAGCCAUCAGUGUGAGUUGGGGUUUUUUCAUGUUUAUGCAGACCUCUAUUCUUUUACUACAACUGUUUUUUGGUGCCAAGGAAGGUAGUACUGUCUCUCACAAGCCUUGAAAUCCCUUGAGCCAUGGGGUGUCAUUCGUAAAAUUCUGCAACCUGCUUCUUUUUGUUGCUCAACACGAUUUUUAGAUUUGUUCAUUUAAUGUGCUGCAUAGUAUUUCAUUGGGUAAAUAGACAAUUGUUUGAGUUUUUCAUUGAAUAAGUAGACAAUUUGUAUUCCUUGUUUCACUGAGCUGAGCAGUUAGGUUUCUUCUCAUUUUUCUCCAUAAAAGAUGUUAGUGGUUAUGGGCAUUCUUAUCAUGUAUGGGCUUAGUAAUAAGUCUCUGGGUCGUGGGGUAGAGAAAUCCCUGUACUUACGUACAUACCUACAGUAUAAGAGCCAUCCAGUGUUCUAAGUGGCAGGCAACUGCCCUGUAGGCACUCAAUAAAUGGGCAUCAAAGAAGGCUGGAGCAGGAGGAUCACAGGUUCAAGGCCAACUGAAUUACACAGUGUGACCCUGCCUCAAAACAAAAUUAAGCAAGCACACACAGGCACCAGUACACACACACACACACACACACACACACACACACACACACACACACACACACACACAGCUCUAACAACACAACAACAAAACCCAAACAAAAUGACAUCAGUGAGAUUUCUGGCUGUGUCUUUAGGUUCCUUUGGGCUAGGAGUCUUUUCCCUCCUGGAUUCCACCCAGCCUCUGUCUUCUGUUCACUCUUUGUCGGGACCCUUAGCAUUGCCCUCUGAUUCUUGCUCUUCUCAGAUUCUCAGUUACAUUCUCUGUGGGGUAAAUGUGGCUCUGAUGGCUUUCCUAGCUGGCAUGUAUUCAUUUUGGUCCUUGUUUGUCUUACUGAGUUUCCCGUCUUAACACUUUCAGCGUGUUCAGUCUCUUCCUCUGUAUUCUGUGAUUUCCCACCCUUGUCAAUGAGUCGUUCAUACCUGAAUGACAUAGAUGCUUCCCAUAAGCCUGUGUUCUUUCUUUACUGUCUAAUCCUUCAGUGUUCCAGGAUUUUAAAGUGCUUUGUGCUCUGGGUUACGGAUUUUAUUUUUAUUAUUUUUCAUGUUGUCCAAAAACAGUGGCACCAAUAGACUUUUCUUUCUAGAAAGUUCCACUUUUGUCAGGCAUGGUCACUCACACCUUUAAUCCCAGCAGAGGUAGAUGGACUUCCUCAAGUUCAUGGCUAACUUGGUCUACACAGUGAGUUCCUGGCCGGCUAAGGCUACAUAGUAAGACCCUUUCUCAACAAACAGGAAGACAGACAGACACUACAGUUUUCUGUCACACUUGCUAAGAAAUGAUGUGACAGUUCCUUCCCUUUAAGUCUGAGCCUGGGUCCUUCACUGCCCUGCUCUGUUCCCCCACCUCACUUUUUCAGUUGCUGCUAUUUCCGGGGACCCCAAGAGAUGUUGGGAUGAGCCCCCCACCUUUUCAUUCAGGAGCUCAGAACCCUUCUAGCUCUUCUAUUCAUCCACAUAAAUUUUAGAAUUAUCUUGUCAUGUUCUCUAAAAUUCUCUGUUGGGAUUUAGUUGAGAUUAAAUUAAAUUUAUAGAUCAAUUUGAGAGAACUGUCAGUUUUAUUACGUCAAUUCUUCUCACCCGUGAAUGUGGUAUAUCUGGCUAAUUUGCUCUGGCCUUCUUUAUGUUUUUCAAUAAGGUCUUAUAAUUUCCUGUGCAAAGAUUAUGCAUAACUUUACUAGAUUUCACCCUAAUCCUAUACAUGCAUUGUUGUAUUUUCUGGCAUCUUUUUAAAAUUAAAAAUUCUGAUAGCUGCCGUGGCAUAGGGACACAAUUUCUCUUUGUGCUCUGAUCUCUGACCUGUUCUACAACUUGCUCAACUCUUGAAUUAAUUGCACUAAGUUGUUUGAAAUUCUAUAACUCUCAAUGUCAGGUCUCAUCACAUGGUGUGGGUCUUUGUUUAUUCUUUUCCAGUAUUCACAAACUGGAUUUCCUUUUCAUGUCUUGCUGCACAAGCUAAGACCUUUAGUGCUGUGCUGAAUGGACAUGGAGGGAGUGGGUGUCCCUCGUGUCCCUGGUAAAAACCACAAUGGGUCUAACCAUGAAUUGGGGCUUUACAGCAGAUUUCUCCUCUUAUAUUGAACCUCUAUGGUUUCUCUUUGGUUCUUCACUAAGAGUUUCUAGCCAGGCAUUGGUGGUGCACACCAUUAAUCCCAGUACUCAGGAGGCAGAGGCAGAAGCAGGUGGAUGGAUCUCUGAGUUUGAGGCUAGUCUGGUCUAUAAAGUGAGUUCCAGGAUAGCCAAGGACUACAUAGAGAAACCCUGUCUUGAAAAACAAAAACCAAGCGAGCAAGCAAGCAAGCAAACAAACAAAUACAAACACCAAAUAAAAAAAGAGUCCCUGCUGUGUGUUACUAUUGCUGAGUGUUCCAAAUCUGACCUGACAAUCGUGUCUGGAUUAUUUGCUAGAUUAUUCUAUUAUUAUUAUUAUUAUUAUUAUUAUUAUUAUUAUUAUUAUUAUUAUCAUUAUUAUUAUUAUCAUUAUUAUUAUUAUUAUUAUUUGCUAGAUUAUUCUAUUGAGAAGUGGGGUCACUGUGUGACACCGAGGCAUGCUUGGCUGGCACCUCUGGUUAGUCCUAAAUUAAAAGCAAGCUAAUACUACAGAAGCUGUCCACUGUUAACCAUGUCCUGGACACGUGGGCUGGCCAUCAUAGUCACAUUGUUGGGCUCUCACACUGGCUGUGAAGACUAUGGUCCAACUUCCCACAGGUCUGUCAGUCUGGUAUCCUAGGCUGGGUAUCAUAGACACAGUGGCUGUUGAACAUUGUGGGCCAGAGAACAACUUUCACAUCUGGCUGUGGCUGUCUCUGCAUCCCAAGCCUCUAACCAGGAGUGACUCCAUUUUGUUCCAUAUCAAGGUCAGGGCUCCUGUUUUCACCCUUACAGGGCCACCAGGACCUAAGCCCCCUCCCUUCCAAGCCCCAGACACUUGCCUCUCUGGCCAUGUCCCUUACCUCCAUUUUUAAAGUCAAUUCUCUGUAUUUACUUUAUAUUUUGUUUUAUUGGUUUUUUCAAGAUAGGGUUUCUUUGUGUAGCAUUGGCUGCUCUGGAACUUUCUCUGUAGACCAGGCUGGCCUCAAACUCAGAGAUCUGCCUGCCUCUGCCUCCCAAGUGCUGUCAUUAAAGGCCUGUGCCACCACCCAGGCCCAGUUCUCUGCUUUUAAAGAGACACUUGUCGUAUUUUGUCCUGUUUUUGCUUGUCAGCUGCAGGGGGUCUUCGAUUAUUUAGGGGUUGAGCUGGCAGAUGAGUCCUAGUAUCUCUGAAGGAAGGGCUUCUUUUAUGUUCCUUCAGGAGGAACCCUUGACAGGUCCUGCAGAGCAAUCUACCUGGGUCUGGUCAAUCAGAUUCAGAUGUAACUGCAAAGGCUUGCUGAAGUUCUGAUAGAUUUUCUUUAGCAAACCCUUGGUGCCCACCAGUAAUGGAGAAUCUAUGGUGAGUUGCUUCAAACAUAGCUACAAUUUGGCCCUGUUUCAUCCUGUACACCUGUACCAAAAAUAUCUAUGCUGGCUCUUCUCUCAGAGCCUCACAUCUUGGCUAUGUGAGGCAACAUUUCCCACAAAGGCCUAAGGGCUGGGUCUCCUUCCCAGCCCCUGGCUCUGGGCUGGCUGAGACCUGUCUUGGUGGUAGAGUGUGUUGGCUUCCAGCCUUAGCUUCCAGAGGUUGAUCUGUACUCAAGCUGUGAGAACCAGCCCUGGCUGGCCUACAUGUGGAACCGACUGCUGGCUCAGUCCACCUCCACCCCGAGCCCUAUUUCCAACAGUGUUGCUAAAAAUCCUUCCCUUGGGGAGAUCACCUGCCCCUCCUCUUACAAUCCGAAAGACAAACCAAGAUGUGAUCCACCAAGGUUCAGAGAAACCAAGGAGUUUGUUAGGCUUACUGACAGCCAACGGAUGAGGGGUUAUAGGCAAAGAGCAUGGAUGACCUUAAACAGUGACCAUCUACGACCAGUAGAGGUGAUGAUUUCCCUGUGAGGAUGGUGCCCACUCCCUUAAUCCUGCCCUGAAAGGACUCUAGCCAGCUCAAAGAUGGCAAACAUGGCUAUAGCAGGCCUUGCCCUUCUCCAUUUCCUCUGCCUUGCUAAAACAUUAGAUUACAUUCCUAAAGCUAGCCCCAAGAUCUAUUCCCUUCUUUGGCCACUUCCUCAUCCUGAUGAUGACUACCAAGGUCCAACUAUCAAAGUAUAGAAGUCCAGCAAUCAGAAGCCCCCUUUGGCUCACCUAAUUAACAUGCCCAAUCAAAAUUAAACACCUUAUCCUAACUCGGGGUUUCCCCCUUUACCCUCAUAAACAGCCAUUUGUUUAUGGGUCACAUCUGUCUCCUCUCUAUCCAGAGGCAGUCAUUUGUCUCCCUCCAGGACAAAUACUUCUUCCUCUUCUCCCUUGUCCAUUAUCUCCUGUCGUCGUUUUUUUUUUUUUUUUUUUUUUUUUUUUUUUUUUUUUUUUCCUGCCCUCUGUCCCUCUGGGGCAAAUAAGAACUUGUGCUGAGAACUUGGUUUUGGAGUGUCUUGAGCCAACUUUAAGGUUUUCUGCAUUCAUCACCUAUAUCCUCUAGCCCCUCCCAGAAGCCCCAAGGCCAUGUGCAAUUAGGGCAGAAUUGCAUACCACUGCCUGGGGUGGGGACUGGAUACUCAGGUGAGGGGACUCAUGAGCCUCCUCACCCCCUCCUUCUAAGAGGGAAGGUCAAUAGUCAACACGCCCAACUGUGAUGCUCAUUACCAAGGGGGCCCAGCCAGAUUCUCGAAGAUGGAGGCAGUCCUGUACAAUAGACGACCAGCUGCAGAGAGUGAAUGUGCAUAGACAAAGCCAUCUGGGAACAGUGGACCUAAAGACCCCUUUGGGGAGCUGAUGCCAGAAUCCUGAGCUAAAUAAAUGGUGAUCACACAAGCCAGUGUACUUUGGGGAUCAUCUCUUACAUAGCAAAAGCUGACAAGAAGCUUCAGAGUUUGUCCCCAGGAUCUGUUGCAUCUCAGUGUCACCAGUGGUCAUGGCCACUCUAUACUAUCCUGGGUCUUAUACAGUUUCAUGGUCCCCUAUGUUCUUCUGCUCAGCUCCUGGAUCACAGAUGAGCUAGCCAUUGGCAUAUAUCCAGAGCAUAGGGAAUGCCACCUUUGAAAGCAAGAACAUGCCCAAUCUUGAGUUCAGGUUAUCCACUUCAUUCUGGAGCAAGAGGAUGAAGCAUCUGGCCUCCUGGGUCUGGGAGGAAUGCUACCCUUAGACCCAGCAGGGCCAGCUCAAUAUGAACCAUAAGCUGAGAGGGGGUGGGAAGGAUGCUGGGUAGUGGACAGUGACAGGCAUCCACCUUCCUGAUUUUUUUCCUGAUGCAAGCCUCUCGGGCUCAGGUGGGAGGACAGGAGAGAUGGGCUUGAAUCUCGGGAGAAGACAAAUACCGAUAAUUGGGGUUCCAGGUUGGGCUACCGAGAAGCUGGGGACCCAGACCCUGCAUAUGACUGCACUUGUCCCCAGUGCAUCCUUGGCACGUCCCUUAUGGACUCUCUGAUCAUCACACACCUGACAUCUGCCUUAAAUCCCUUUGAUGAAUUUAAUCCCACUUCUAGAGGGAAAGCCAUCCUCUUCGAGCUGGCCAGGCCCCGUAUCUGCCUUCUUGCUGGCUGAGAACACCUUCCUGCAGGCUCAUCACUCUCCUCACCUGGAGAAGCUAAUGAGCAAAGCAGAAGGGCCAGACCUUGAGGUGGUCCCAUCUCUAAUCUAGUCCUGUCCUGUGCCUAGUUUGACUUAGACUUGAAUUGUCACUGAUGUGACUUGUCCUGAGUCUGAUACCAGCCUAAACACUUUGCAAAUAUGCUAAUCUCCCUUUAUUGGUGGCUUCGCUUUUCAUAGUUUUAGUUACCUAUGGUCAACUGGGGCCUGAAAAUAUUAAAUGGAAAAUUACAGAAAUAGAUUGUUCAUGAAUUUUAAAUGAGACGAGAUCUUGUAUCACUUUGUCCUGAUCAGGCUGUGACCCACCCAUGUCCAGUGUAUGCACUACCCUCCCGUUAGUCUCUCUGUAUCACCUUGGAGAUCAGGCUGUCUGUCACAGUAUGGCAGCACUUGUCUUCAAAUGACUCUAUAGUUACCAAUGUCCCCAAAGAACAAGAGGAGUGGCACUGGCCGUUCAGAUGUGCCAAAAAGAGCCGUAAUGUAUUUUCUUUAACUGAUAAGGUGAGAUUCUUAAUGAAGAAGAAUGUCACACACCAAGGCUGCUAAGAUCUAAGGAUGAACGGAGUUUCCAGCCCUGGGAUUCUAAGAAAGGAAAAAGAAAUAUGGGUCAUCUCUGCUGUGCCACUGCGAACUACAAAACGUUAUAACCGUAGUAUAAAGUGUAUGGCUAAGUUGAGAAGGCAGCAAUUAUAAAAUAGAUAAUGUGCGUGUCUCCAGACAGUCACUGCAAGUUUGGGAGGGUAUUCUGGGAUGUAUCCUCUGUGGUUUGGGGGGCCUGCUGCAUCACCCCAAUGUCACUCUCACACCUCCUCUUUGACCAGGGUUGGGUGAGGAGAUGGAGUGAUCAAUGAAAGCCUCACAGUGAGAAGAGCAAGCAUGCAGGCCUUCCGCCUGGCACUCGAUUUGUGAUGCCUGAUGAGGUGAGCUGCUGUGGCCACAGUGACCGAGCGUCUCUCACAUGAUGCUCCUGUCCUGGGGCCACAGAAGUGAAAAUGGUGGGUACAGGUCUCACCAUCUGAGAGCCAGCAACCUCGUCAGCGAGACAGCCAAUCACCCAACACCCGGAUGGGGGAUGGGAAGAACUGUGCAAAACAGCAAGCAGCAGAAUGCAGGAAAGUUCUCCAGAGUCCUGUGUGAAUGCAGGGUGGAAACAGGAGUGGGCUAGCCUGGGCAGACUGUUGGAGCUGGCACCUCAGCUGAGAAGGUCAUUAGGAGGGGGUUUGGGAAGGGCGACCCUGAAGGCCAUGUGGCUGGAGAAUGGGCUGCAGAUCAGAAAGAGCCAAAGCUUUCAAAGAGGGUCAGAACAUAGCACAGAAAUAGCGGUGUCCGCGGCUGUUUUGAAAGAAUCUCGUUAGGGCUCUGUCAGGUUUGGUCCCACGUCCUGGUCAGUUCUCCCCACUUCACCAUCCAGCCCCCAUCCUCCAGCCCCCACCCUGUGUCUGUGCAGUGUGGGGGCCACCACUGCAUCCCACAACUCUGACUAGUGCUGGAGGUCGAUGCUGCUGGGUCUCCAUGCAUUUUCUGCAGUCUAUCCCCGAUCUGCCCAUCCUUAGAGCUUGCCACAUGGACAAGGCUGUCUCCCAAGGCUGAGAUGUCUGCAGGUGGCUGCAGGGUCUUUACUCUUGUGCUCAGAGAAUCAAGGUGGAGACAAAUGUUCCCAGGCCAUGCAGGAUGGAAGCCACAGUCUUGACUUAAGACGUUAAUUUCGCGAGCUGGCAAAGUGUUGGCCUGUCUGGCCUCUGUGGGAAGAACGAGGAGGCACCACGUAGCGGGAACAAGUUCCUGAGGCUAAAAUGAGAAGGUGGUGUGGGGUACGGGAAAGGGUCAAGAGAGGAGAUGGGGCAGAAAGUGGGGAGCCACAUGAGAACCCCAAGGGAGGCUGAGAAACCAGCAAGAAGCAGAUGACAGACUGGCCUCGCUGCCUCAGGACUCUAUCAGGUUGGGAACAGUACUUGGCUCCUUGUGCACUGCUCGGAGCUGAGGGAAAAAAGAAAAAGCGAGUCUGCAGUCUGCCGGAGGCUGCCUCCCCCACACUCUCCCUCCUCUCUGCAUGAAGACUUUUCUUUCUUAUCAAAGAUCUGUGUUUUGGUCCUAACCUUUUAAAAAUGCACAUACAUAUACAUAUAUAAUUAUUGUUUAAAAAAUGAAUGGGCCCACGGUGUACCAUUAUGCCAUCUCGGGUUUCUCUGAGGUGACGGUGUGCUUUGAGAUAUUUCUUGGUCUCUGUACAGCUAUCUCAUUCUUCUUAGUGAUAACAACGUGAUUUCCUAACAAGUCCCUGGCAGACAGUUACAUAGCUUCCAAUUCUUUCGGUUUAGUCAAAGAUAGGUUUCCUUGUGUGUUGUGCAUGUACACGUGUGUGGUGUGUGCCUGUGUCAUAAGCCCAGUAUUUGUCUUCUUUCUUUCUUUCUUUCUUUCUUUCUUUCUUUCUUUCUUUCUUUCUUUCUUCUUUCUUUCUUUCUUUCUUUCUUUCUUUCUUUCUUUCUGAGACAAGAUCUCAUUAUGUAGCCCUGGCUGGCCUGGAAUUCCCUAUGUAGACCAGGCUGUCCUCAAACACAGAUAUCCACCUGCCUCUGCCUUCUGAAUGCUGAAAUUAAAGGCAUGCACCUCUAUGUCCAGCAAAGAUGUUUUUAUUUGUUCGUGUGUGUGUGUGUGUGUGUGCCUGUGUGAGUUUCUAUGCAGCAUGUGUGUGCAGGUACCCUCAGGGGUCAGAGGAAUUAGAUCCGCUGGAACAGGAGUUACAGGCGCUUGUGAGGCACUUGGUGUAGAUGGUGGGAACAGAACCCAGGACCUCUGCAAGAGCUGUACAUGCUCUCAACCGCUGAACCUGUUCUCUAGCCCACCCUCGUCUCUUGCAAUGAAAUGGUCACUGCACCAUGUGUGUUGUCUGUGCGUGCAUUUCAUACAUGUUUGUUGAACAUUCAUAUCUGUUGUAUGUGCACAUCUGUGUCCGGUGUAUAUGUAUGCAUGUGCGGUGUGCAAAUGCUUGUGUACAUCUUAAUUUAAUAAAAAAACAGGAGCCCUAUCUCAGAGUGUGUGUGUUAUAUGCAAGCAUAUGUGUGCAUGGUAUAUGGGGUGGGUGUGUAAGCCCAGUGCCUUCCCGUCCAAUGAAGCAAGAAUGUGUAUAUAUAUACGUGUGUGCUGUGUGCAUGCAUCAUAUAUGUGCAUAUAUGUGUGAUGUGUAUGUUUCUUUUAGUAAAUAAGGAGCCCCAUCUUGGGCCCAGCUCACCAUGCCUGAGUAGCUGGCUCUGACGAGCCUGCAUAGGCCUCAGCGAUGAUAGACCAAAGUACCUGGUCAGCGAAGAUCUCCAGAAGGUCUUGGAUCUCAAAAUGGGUCAACCAGAGUCCCUCUGACACUUUACCUUCAGAGAUGAGUCAGCUGUCUAUCAGGAGGGACCCCAAGGCUGACAGCUUUUGUCGGAAAGACCUUGUCUCUACCCUUAUCACAGAGCCCCAGUGUUUUGUGCUUCUUGGUGCUUCAAGCCAGCUGCCUUGUGUCCCCUGUCUGUAUGACCCAAGAAGUUCCCUUUUCCCAUAAACCACCAUUCUGCAUCUGUAUGGUACCUGCCAUGAACCUGGUACUAGAGUUAGUAGUCAGGGCCAUGCUGUCAUGCAGUUCACAAGAUAUGGUAUUGUGUGACACUAUUCUUGGGGACAUGGUUAACUUGCCCAGAUAGGAAACUGAUGACAGACAGAAGUAUAGGUGCCACCAGACUCCAACUUGAUAAACCAAUGAGUUUAUUGGAGUUACUUACAGGAGCAGAAGGGACUCAUGGACAACGAUAUCACCAAAAUCCAAACAUGGGUCACACUCCAGAAAGAUACCUGGAGCACAUGGCAGAGCAUGCAGACAACUCAACAGGCUGUCUGUCUCUUUCAGCUACAGGGCUGAUCCUGCUGAAAACGAGACUCACGAUUUGAUCACACCGGCGAGCAAUGACAACACGAUUGAAUUUGCAGCCCUGACAGAUGUGUUUUAUGAACGCUGGGGCACUGAUCAGAGAGGAGAGGAAUGCCGGGGCAUGUUAUUGAACUUGGAUGAGUCUGAAAAACAGCUGCUUCUUCCUGCCUGGAGUGAUGAGUCUCUCCCUUCCCGAGAAGCCCUUGAGGAGUUCACAGGAGUGAGUUCCCGGGAGAACACUGACUUUCUUCUGUUUGCUGCUGUCAAGAGCCUGUUCCUGUGCCCCAGGAUGUUUGUCUCAGUUUUGACCCAGGAGGAGAUCAUUAGGGGUCAUGGGGAUUUUCCCAUGACCCACUGAGAGAGGAAGAGAAAACACACCUCCGGUUUCCAAAAGCUUCUGUUUGCUACAGCAGAGCUUUUCAGACUAGCAACAGAGUCUGUUUGGUUGGCUACAGAUCCAAACAGAAGUGUGCCUAUAUCUGUUCACAGGGCUUGAACUUGGGGACGGGUGGGUGGAUCUCUCAAAAGAGCUAGUCUUGGCCCCGGCAGCUGCAGUUUGCCCAGUCCUGGUGUAAACUCCUGAAGACUCAGUUGUGGAACCAGCAAGGAGGGUGCCCACUGGCAUAUGCUUUAGACCUGUGACCCACACAGGGUGUUGUUCUAUCCAUAGUUAGACUAUGGAUCUGGAAUUAAGGAAAGAAGUGAGAACGGGUGAGGCAACAUAUUUUAGCUUGAGGCUCCAUUCCCAGGGCUCCAGGCACCACUGAAUUAGACCCUGUGUUUUCUGGGGGUCUGCAGCAGAGGGUUCUACUCGAAAUGCACUAGAGCUUAACAGGUUCUGAGUCAACAAAGAAAGGAUUUUGUACUGGUUGUAGGCAACGGAUCUGUCAAAGGAGAGUGGGUGAUGGGGACCAUGAGGGUCCAGUCUGGAGUCUCUCUGGGGACCUUUCCUGAUCUUUGUCUAGAUAAAGGACAGAAGAAAGGCAGAGCGGCAGGGGGCACAGCGUCCUCAAGGAGGACGGUUGGUUUAGCUGUCAGUGAAGAACCUCAGCUGGGGGUCUGUGUGGAAUCACAGGGAACGUAAAGCAGAUAGAAGAAGGGAGGAAAGAAGUCUGGUUGGACAAUCAGGGAGUGUAGCCAUGCUGUCUUCCCCCACUGCGUAGGAUGUGUUUAUUUGCUAAUGUUUCCAGAUUUCUCCUCUGUCCCCCGUUCUUAAUAAAUGGCAUUCAACAUUUAACCCAGUGCUAGUGAGUAUUAGGUUGCAUGGUGACUGAACUGAAAGGGGGGAAGGUGGGAAGGUGGGGGGGGUGGUCAGUGUUGCCUAUUGGGGAGAGGUGAGAAUGUUCUCGUGUGUACAGGAGAUGGCUACAAAUAGGAUGUGCCAGGGCUGCUUUUGUUUGGGAGAGCAAGGAAGCAGCUGGGUUCUGAGGGCAUGAUGCAAGCCCCCCUCCCUUUGAGGCUCUAAGAAUGAGACCUAUAUUUCCUGGGCUCAUUGUAAGCUGUCAUCUCUGCAUGAGCCAAUGAAGUCACUUAGAAGGAUAGCAGAGAGCCCCCAGCUGCGGUGGCUAGGCUCCAAGUCUGGACCCAGGUACACAGCAUAAAGGCUUUGUCUUCCUUUAGUGACAGGGCGGGCUCCUGCCCCAGCGCAGAGGCUGUAGUACUGUUCAUGACUGAAGCAAUGCCGUAACUAUUCCUUCAGCCAGUACAGGCCCUGAAUAGCUUUGUAUUCUUCCCCUCUCAGUCCUGGGUGCAGAACCUUCCUUUCUUUUCUGUUUGUUGUGCUAUUGGGGUUGAGAUGUGUCCCCACAAAGCUCAAGUGUUGGAGAGCCGAGCCCCAAACUACUUAUUAAUGGUGUCUGGAGGUUCAGUUUCUGGGAAGUGACUGGGUGUAGAAGAGGUCUUGAAGGAGACUUCAAGGUAGCAUCAGCAGAAUAAGAGAGACAUGAGCUUAAAUGAUGCUCUGUCUCCCAUGUGCCACUCUGUGUCGUGUUUAUUGUAACUGUGGUCUUUGUCAGAUGUCACUAGAUGCCAGCAGCACCAUGCUCCUGGACUUCCAAGCCUCCAGAAAUCUGAGCCAAAUGAACCUCUCUUCUUUAUAAAUUAGCCCCUCUUGGGCAUUUUCUUACAUCAGUAGGAAAUGGUCUAAGGUUUAUGCCCAGAGUUUUAUAGCGAUUGCUACAGAAUGAGACAGCCUCCAUAUGCCCCAGGCUCCAGGAUAUCUUUUUAGGUACCUUCAGCUUCCUGGCUUUUCUGAAUGUGACUGUCUGUGAGACUGUUAGGCGGUAUAUGUCUGUCUUCUAAAUAGUAAAGAAGGGUGUGUUGACUUCAGAUGGGGCUCUCAGCCUCAGACCCCUCACAAUUGAGGCAGAUAGUUCUUGCUGUGGGUCUGACAUAGGCCUCUUUCCAGAAGUCACUAGCAUCUCAGGAGUGCAUUUCCAGGCACUCCAGGGCCGUUGGGAUACUUUCCUUGGGGGUAAGAAACACUAGGUGAGGAAGCAGACAGAGACGGGGCAUUUUCUCAAAACAGAGGUGGCACAGUGGAGUUCUGGGGCAUAGGGACAUGAAAUAGCAUCUUAAAAAAUGAGGACAAUUUUUAAUUUCAAAAUAA
This 13546-nucleotide long non-coding RNA is filed under the name Cricetulus griseus (Chinese hamster). RNAcentral's name for it is "lncRNA (ENSCGRG00015033170.1)". Lineage: Eukaryota; Metazoa; Chordata; Mammalia; Rodentia; Cricetidae. The record is from RNAcentral.